UGGGGAAUAUUGGACAAUGGGCGCAAGCCUGAUCCAGCCAUGCCGCGUGAGUGAUGAAGGCACUAGGGUUGUAAAGCUCUUUCACCGGUGAAGAUAAUGACGGUAACCGGAGAAGAAGCCCCGGCUAACUUCGUGCCAGCAGCCGCGGUAAUACGAAGGGGGCUAGCGUUGUUCGGAUUUACUGGGCGUAAAGCGCACGUAGGCGGACUUUUAAGUCAGGGGUGAAAUCCCGGGGCUCAACCCCGGAACUGCCUUUGAUACUGGAAGUCUUGAGUAUGGUAGAGGUGAGUGGAAUUCCGAGUGUAGAGGUGAAAUUCGUAGAUGUUCGGAGGAACACCAGUGGCGAAGGCGGCUCACUGGACCAUUACUGACGCUGAGGUGCGAAAGCGUGGGGAGCAAACAGG
This 404-nucleotide ribosomal RNA is filed under the name Actinomycetes bacterium. RNAcentral describes it as "Actinobacteria bacterium partial 16S ribosomal RNA". It matches the Rfam family "Bacterial small subunit ribosomal RNA", at positions 355 to 776 of the family's 1533-position model. Lineage: Bacteria; Bacillati; Actinomycetota; Actinomycetes. The record is from RNAcentral.